This 460-nucleotide ribosomal RNA is filed under the name uncultured bacterium. RNAcentral's name for it is "partial 16S ribosomal RNA". It matches the Rfam family "Bacterial small subunit ribosomal RNA", at positions 338 to 795 of the family's 1533-position model. The record is from RNAcentral.
CCUACGGGAGGCAGCAGUGAGGAAUAUUGGUCAAUGGGCUUACGCCUGAACCAGCCAAGUCGCGUGAGGGAAGACUGCCCUAUGGGUUGUAAACCUCUUUUGUCAGGGAGCAACGCCGGCUACGUGUAGCCUGACUGAGAGUACCUGAAGAAAAAGCAUCGGCUAACUCCGUGCCAGCAGCCGCGGUAAUACGGAGGACGCGAGCGUUAUACGGAUUUAUUGGGUUUAAAGGGUGCGUAGGCGGAAUGCCAAGUCAGCGGUAAAAUCGCGGGGCUCAACCUCGCUCCGCCGUUGAAACUGGCGUUCUUGAGUGGGCGAGAAGUAUGCGGAAUGCGUGGUGUAGCGGUGAAAUGCAUAGAUAUCACGCAGAACUCCGAUUGCGAAGGCAGCAUACCGGCGCCCAACUGACGCUGAAGCACGAAAGCGUGGGUAUCGAACAGGAUUAGAUACCCCUGUAGUC